CUGAGGCGUGAUGACGAGGCACUACGGUGCUGAAGCAACAAAUGCCCUGCUUCCAGGAAAAGCCUCUAAGCAUCAGGUAACAUCAAAUCGUACCCCAAACCGACACAGGUGGUCAGGUAGAGAAUACCAAGGCGCUUGAGAGAACUCGGGUGAAGGAACUAGGCAAAAUGGUGCCGUAACUUCGGGAGAAGGCACGCUGACACGUAGGUGAAGUGAUUUACUCACGGAGCUGAAGUCAGUCGAAGAUACCAGCUGGCUGCAACUGUUUAUUAAAAACACAGCACUGUGCAAACACGAAAGUGGACGUAUACGGUGUGACGCCUGCCCGGUGCCGGAAGGUUAAUUGAUGGGGUCAGCGCAAGCGAAGCUCCUGAUCGAAGCCCCGGUAAACGGCGGCCGUAACUAUAACGGUCCUAAGGUAGCGAAAUUCCUUGUCGGGUAAGUUCCGACCUGCACGAAUGGCGUAAUGAUGGCCAGGCUGUCUCCACCCGAGACUCAGUGAAAUUGAACUCGCUGUGAAGAUGCAGUGUACCCGCGGCAAGACGGAAAGACCCCGUGAACCUUUACUAUAGCUUGACACUGAACAUUGAGCCUUGAUGUGUAGGAUAGGUGGGAGGCUUUGAAGUGUGGACGCCAGUCUGCAUGGAGCCGACCUUGAAAUACCACCCUUUAAUGUUUGAUGUUCUAACGUGGACCCGUAAUCCGGGUUGCGGACAGUGUCUGGUGGGUAGUUUGACUGGGGCGGUCUCCUCCUAAAGAGUAACGGAGGAGCACGAAGGUUGGCUAAUCCUGGUCGGACAUCAGGAGGUUAGUGCAAUGGCAUAAGCCAGCUUGACUGCGAGCGUGACGGCGCGAGCAGGUGCGAAAGCAGGUCAUAGUGAUCCGGUGGUUCUGAAUGGAAGGGCCAUCGCUCAACGGAUAAAAGGUACUCCGGGGAUAACAGGCUGAUACCGCCCAAGAGUUCAUAUCGACGGCGGUGUUUGGCACCUCGAUGUCGGCUCAUCACAUCCUGGGGCUGAAGUAGGUCCCAAGGGUAUGGCUGUUCGCCAUUUAAAGUGGUACGCGAGCUGGGUUUAGAACGUCGUGAGACAGUUCGGUCCCUAUCUGCCGUGGGCGCUGGAGAACUGAGGGGGGCUGCUCCUAGUACGAGAGGACCGGAGUGGACGCAUCACUGGUGUUCGGGUUGUCAUGCCAAUGGCACUGCCCGGUAGCUAAAUGCGGAAGAGAUAAGUGCUGAAAGCAUCUAAGCACGAAACUUGCCCCGAGAUGAGUUCUCCCUGAGACUUAGAGUCUCCUGAAGGAACGUUGAAGACGACGACGUUGAUAGGCCGGGUGUGUAAGCGCAGCGAUGCGUUGAGCUAACCGGUACUAAUGAACCGUGAGGCUUAACCUUACAACGCCGAAGAUGUUUUGGCGG
RNAcentral lists this ribosomal RNA (1417 nucleotides) under Salmonella enterica subsp. enterica serovar Newport str. SHSN013. RNAcentral's name for it is "bacterial LSU rRNA". It matches the Rfam family "Bacterial large subunit ribosomal RNA", at positions 1556 to 2925 of the family's 2925-position model. The record is from RNAcentral. Lineage: Bacteria; Pseudomonadati; Pseudomonadota; Gammaproteobacteria; Enterobacterales; Enterobacteriaceae.